RNAcentral lists this ribosomal RNA (207 nucleotides) under uncultured delta proteobacterium. RNAcentral describes it as "partial 16S ribosomal RNA". It matches the Rfam family "Bacterial small subunit ribosomal RNA", at positions 568 to 774 of the family's 1533-position model. The record is from RNAcentral. Lineage: Bacteria; Deltaproteobacteria.
CGUGUAGGCGGCCAGACAAGUCAGAGGUGAAAGCCCGGGGCUCAACCCCGGAAGUGCCUUUGAAACUGUUUGGCUUGAGUGCGGGAGAGGAAAGCGGAAUUCCCAGUGUAGAGGUGAAAUUCGUAGAUAUUGGGAGGAACACCGGUGGCGAAGGCGGCUUUCUGGACCGACACUGACGCUGAGGCGCGAAAGCGUGGGGAGCAAACA